CCUACGGAGGCUGCAGUGGGGGAUAUUGCACAAUGGGGGAAACCCUGAUGCAGCGACGCCGCGUGAGUGAAGAAGUAUUUCGGUAUGUAAAGCCCUAUCAGCAGGGGAGAAAAUGACAGUACCUGACCAAGAAGCCCCGGCGAACUACGAGCCAGCAGCCGCGGUAAUACGUAGGGGGAAAGCGUUAUCCGGAUUUACUGGGUGUAAAGGGAGCGUAGACGGUUGUGUAAGUCUGGAGUGAAAGCCCGGGGCCCAACCCCUGGACUGCUUUGGAAACUGUGUAACUGGAGUGCAGGAGGGGCAGGCGGAAUUCCUGGUGUAGCGGUGGAAUGCGUAGAUAUCAGGAAGAACACCGGCGGCGAAGGCAGCCUGCUGGACUGAAACUGACGUUGAGGCUCGAAAGCGUGGGGAGCAAACAGGAUUAGAUACCCCUGUAGUC
Molecule: ribosomal RNA, 439 nt
Filed under: uncultured bacterium
Lineage: Bacteria
Description: partial 16S ribosomal RNA
Rfam family: Bacterial small subunit ribosomal RNA
Source: RNAcentral